GAAACGCGAUAGUUAAUGUGAAUUGCAGAAUUCAGUGAAUCAUCGAGUCUUUGAACGCACAUUGCGCCCAUAGGUAUUCCUUUGGGCAUGUCUGUUUGAGCGUCAUUACAACCCUCAGCUAACCGCUGGUUUUGAACCUGAACGGGUGACACCGCGCCGGUUUUAAAGUUGUAAGCUCUGCUGGCCGCUCUGCCCAACCAGAACAUAGUAAGCACUACUUGUCCGGGUGAAGCUGAACGGUACGGCCUGAACAAAACCUACCCACUCUCAAGGUUUGACCUCAGAUCAGACAAGGAUACCCGCUGAACUGAAG
This 313-nucleotide unclassified non-coding RNA is filed under the name plant metagenome. RNAcentral describes it as "partial contains 5.8S ribosomal RNA, internal transcribed spacer 2, and large subunit ribosomal RNA". The stretch from base 1 to 105 matches the Rfam family "5.8S ribosomal RNA", at positions 50 to 154 of the family's 154-position model. The record is from RNAcentral.